This 468-nucleotide ribosomal RNA is filed under the name Microsporidia sp. RNAcentral's name for it is "bacterial SSU rRNA". It matches the Rfam family "Microsporidia small subunit ribosomal RNA", at positions 200 to 696 of the family's 1311-position model. The record is from RNAcentral. Lineage: Eukaryota; Fungi; Microsporidia.
CUACCAAGACAGUGACGGUUGACGGGGAAUCAGGGUUCUAUACCGGAGAGGGAGCCUGAGAGAUUGCUCCCACGUCCAAGGACGGCAGCAGGCGCGAAAAUUGCCCACUGUUUGCAGGAGGCAGUUAUGAGACGUGAGGAUGAAUGCUUGGCAAAGAGAAGCAGGAGAAUUGGAGGGCAAGUUUGGUGCCAGCAGCCGCGGUAAUACCGACUCCAAGAGUGUGUGUGAGAGAUGCUGCAGUUAAAAAGUCCGUAGUCGUGUCGAGGAAACGGAGGGCGACCUCUGAUAGUUGAUGUGGAGGAGCCAAUGGGGAACACAGUAUACCAGGGCGAGAGAUGAAAUGUCAAGACCCCUGGUGGACUCAGCGAGGCGAAGGCGGUGUUCUUGUGGGCGUCCGGUGAUCAAGGACGAAGGGUGGAGGAUCGAACGUGAUUAGAUACCGCAGUAGUUCCAGCAGUAAAAGAUGCC